This is a long non-coding RNA of Etheostoma cragini (Arkansas darter), 1102 nucleotides long. RefSeq lists it as uncharacterized. The transcript has 7 exons. Lineage: Eukaryota; Metazoa; Chordata; Actinopteri; Perciformes; Percidae. The record is from RefSeq and is a predicted model, not a curated record.
UUGAUUGGAGAUAAUCCACCUAUUCUUGUUGUAUACAGUUUGCUUUGGAAUCUUAUAGGCAGUGAAACUGGUUCACCCGAUGGGUGUGAGAAGGAAAAAUGUAGUGCAUGAUGAUGUACUGUGAUUGUGUAAAGCCCAACAGUCAAGAGGCAAGGUUGACAGACAAACACUGACAAUACCAAUGGGGCUUCUGUACAAGACAUGUAUGGAUCAAAUGGAAUGGAAUACAGGAUUGCGUACAGUUCAAUCAAGUGUGUUUGACAGGGGAUUGCUAUGGGUUACCUGCAAUUCAACACCUCAAUACUUGACAGCAUCUUACAUGAACUCCUCUUAUGUCUGGACAAUACUACCCUAACUGUAGACAUUUGCGCAAGUCAUGGCAACAAAACAGUGGUAUUGAAGACCAACUCCGCUAACAUGGAACAGGGUAAGGACUAAUUGUACAAGAGAUAGAAGUCAACAUCCCAGGUUCGAAUCAUUCAUCCUGAGUCGUCGUCUCUUCCAGUCCAGUGUGAGACCAACCCUACUGGUUUAAAUGGCGUUGCGGUGUAUGAUGAUCUAACUUAUGCCAUACCUUAUGUUGAGAACCAGCAGCCAACAGACCGAGCCCCGUCUUUGGACAACUUAGUCAGUGUGAGUGGAGAACUGCAGCAGCAGUGGAGCUCAGAAGACACAAAUCACCAGGAGGGGAACCUAAUGUCUCGGUCCCAUGGUCACUCGACAUCUGGUGGGAGACAUCUGAGACAUUGUCUUUUCCGCCGCACUACGACCACACAGAGAGUGCCCAUCAACUGGUGGAGACAGAAUGGUCCAUGGCUGGUGAUGGCCCUUGCUGGUGUGGUGCUCUUUCUGUUGUGCACAAUGCUUGCUUUCUCAAUAUAAAAAUAAUUUUGAAAUGUUCUUUUCUGUCAUGUUGUCCUUUUUGACACAAGGGGGUGAGGAAUAGAGGGGGGAGGAUUCCCUUGUGACAUUACAUGAAAACCAGAUCAAAUAAUUGUUUUGUAUAAUUGUAACAGAAUUGUAUGUACUGUACCUAAUGUGAAUAGGAGUUUCAAAUAAAUUAUAUAUCUGAUUAUUUAUGAAUCAUAGCUUUUUCCAUACA